RNAcentral lists this transfer RNA (72 nucleotides) under Camelus bactrianus (Bactrian camel). It matches the Rfam family "tRNA". Rfam says of the family: Transfer RNA (tRNA) molecules are approximately 80 nucleotides in length. Their secondary structure includes four short double-helical elements and three loops (D, anti-codon, and T loops). The record is from Rfam by way of RNAcentral. RNAcentral also lists the same sequence under 2 other names. Lineage: Eukaryota; Metazoa; Chordata; Mammalia; Artiodactyla; Camelidae.
AAGGGUAUAGCUAAGUGGUAGAGCGCAUGCUUAGCAUGCAUGACGCCCUGGGUUCAAUCCCCAGUACCUCCU